RNAcentral lists this ribosomal RNA (1369 nucleotides) under uncultured bacterium. RNAcentral's name for it is "bacterial SSU rRNA". It matches the Rfam family "Bacterial small subunit ribosomal RNA", at positions 28 to 1381 of the family's 1533-position model. The record is from RNAcentral.
GACGAACGCUGGCGGCGUGCCUAAUACAUGCAAGUAGAACGCUGAAGAGAGGAGCUUGCUCUUCUUGGAUGAGUUGCGAACGGGUGAGUAACGCGUAGGUAACCUGCCUUGUAGCGGGGGAUAACUAUUGGAAACGAUAGCUAAUACCGCAUAACAAUGGAUGACACAUGUCAUUUAUUUGAAAGGGGCAAUUGUUCCACUACAAGAUGGACCUGCGUUGUAUUAGCUAGUAGGUGAGGUAAUGGCUCACCUAGGCGACGAUACAUAGCCGACCUGAGAGGGUGAUCGGCCACACUGGGACUGAGACACGGCCCAGACUCCUACGGGAGGCAGCAGUAGGGAAUCUUCGGCAAUGGGGGCAACCCUGACCGAGCAACGCCGCGUGAGUGAAGAAGGUUUUCGGAUCGUAAAGCUCUGUUGUAAGUCAAGAACGGGUGUGAGAGUGGAAAGUUCACACUGUGACGGUAGCUUACCAGAAAGGGACGGCUAACUACGUGCCAGCAGCCGCGGUAAUACGUAGGUCCCGAGCGUUGUCCGGAUUUAUUGGGCGUAAAGCGAGCGCAGGCGGUUUGAUAAGUCUGAAGUUAAAGGCUGUGGCUCAACCAUAGUUCGCUUUGGAAACUGUCAAACUUGAGUGCAGAAGGGGAGAGUGGAAUUCCAUGUGUAGCGGUGAAAUGCGUAGAUAUAUGGAGGAACACCGGUGGCGAAAGCGGCUCUCUGGUCUGUAACUGACGCUGAGGCUCGAAAGCGUGGGGAGCGAACAGGAUUAGAUACCCUGGUAGUCCACGCCGUAAACGAUGAGUGCUAGGUGUUGGAUCCUUUCCGGGAUUCAGUGCCGCAGCUAACGCAUUAAGCACUCCGCCUGGGGAGUACGACCGCAAGGUUGAAACUCAAAGGAAUUGACGGGGGCCCGCACAAGCGGUGGAGCAUGUGGUUUAAUUCGAAGCAACGCGAAGAACCUUACCAGGUCUUGACAUCCCGAUGCUAUUUCUAGAGAUAGAAAGUUACUUCGGUACAUCGGUGACAGGUGGUGCAUGGUUGUCGUCAGCUCGUGUCGUGAGAUGUUGGGUUAAGUCCCGCAACGAGCGCAACCCCUAUUGUUAGUUGCCAUCAUUCAGUUGGGCACUCUAGCGAGACUGCCGGUAAUAAACCGGAGGAAGGUGGGGAUGACGUCAAAUCAUCAUGCCCCUUAUGACCUGGGCUACACACGUGCUACAAUGGUUGGUACAACGGGUUGCGAGUCGGUGACGGCGAGCUAAUCUCUUAAAGCCAAUCUCAGUUCGGAUUGUAGGCUGCAACUCGCCUACAUGAAGUCGGAAUCGCUAGUAAUCGCGGAUCAGCACGCCGCGGUGAAUAAGUUCCCGGGCCU